GAUGAAGAACGCAGUGAAAUGCGAUAACUAAUGUGAAUUGCAGAAUUCCGUGAAUCAUCGAGUCUUUGAACGCACAUUGCGCCCCUGGUAUUCCGGGGGGCAUGCCUGUCCGAGCGUCAUUGCAACCCUCAAGCACGGCUUGUCUAAUGGGCGGUUCGUCUGCGGCCAUCCGCCGGAGACGCCCCCGAAAUGCAGUGGGGAUGUUCGCUAAAUCGCAGCGUCAGGAAUGGAAAUAAACAAUGCUGACGGCUCGAUGUCGAACGUCCACCUAAGGCGUGCCGCCCCCCCGGGGUGUGCCGCCCAACCUCUCUCGGUUGACCUCGGAUCAGGUAGGGAUACCCGCUGAACUUAAGCAUAUCAAUAAGCGGAGGA
This 372-nucleotide unclassified non-coding RNA is filed under the name soil metagenome. RNAcentral describes it as "partial contains 5.8S ribosomal RNA, internal transcribed spacer 2, and large subunit ribosomal RNA". The stretch from base 1 to 119 matches the Rfam family "5.8S ribosomal RNA", at positions 35 to 154 of the family's 154-position model. The record is from RNAcentral.